This 500-nucleotide ribosomal RNA is filed under the name uncultured bacterium. RNAcentral describes it as "partial 16S ribosomal RNA". It matches the Rfam family "Bacterial small subunit ribosomal RNA", at positions 30 to 523 of the family's 1533-position model. The record is from RNAcentral.
AUUGAACGCUGGCGGCAUGCCUUACACAUGCAAGUCGAACGGUAACGCGGGGGCAACCCUGGCGACGAGUGGCGAACGGGUGAGUAAUACAUCGGAACAUAUCCAGUAGCGGGGGAUAACCUAUCGAAAGAUGGACUAAUACCGCAUACGCUCUACGGAUGAAAGCAGGGGACAGCAAGGCCUUGCACUAUUGGAGUGGCCGAUGUCGGAUUAGCUAGUUGGUGGGGUAAAAGCCUACCAAGGCGACGAUCCGUAGCUGGUCUGAGAGGACGAUCAGCCACACUGGAACUGAGACACGGUCCAGACUCCUACGGGAGGCAGCAGUGGGGAAUUUUGGACAAUGGGCGCAAGCCUGAUCCAGCCAUGCCGCGUGAGUGAAGAAGGCCUUCGGGUUGUAAAGCUCUUUCGGUGAAGACGAAACGGUUAGCGCUAAAAACGCUGGCUAAUGACAGUACUCACAGAAGAAGCACCGGCUAACUACGUGCCAGCCGCCGCCGUAA